AUUGAACGCUGGCGGCAUGCCUUACACAUGCAAGUCGAACGGCAGCGGACCUUCGGGUGCCGGCGAGUGGCGAACGGGUGAGUAAUAUAUCGGAACGUACCUUUCAGUGGGGGGAUAACGUAGCGAAAGUUACGCUAAUACCGCAUAUUCUGUGAGCAGGAAAGCAGGGGAUCGCAAGACCUUGCGCUGAUUGAGCGGCCGAUAUCAGAUUAGCUAGUUGGUGAGGUAAAGGCUCACCAAGGCGACGAUCUGUAGCGGGUCUGAGAGGAUGAUCCGCCACACUGGAACUGAGACACGGUCCAGACUCCUACGGGAGGCAGCAGUGGGGAAUUUUGGACAAUGGGCGAAAGCCUGAUCCAGCAAUGCCGCGUGAGUGAUGAAGGCCUUAGGGUUGUAAAGCUCUUUUACCAGGGAUGAUAAUGACAGUACCUGGAGAAUAAGCUCCGGCUAACUCCGUGCCAGCAGCCGCGGUAAAGUAGUC
This 481-nucleotide ribosomal RNA is filed under the name uncultured bacterium. RNAcentral's name for it is "bacterial SSU rRNA". It matches the Rfam family "Bacterial small subunit ribosomal RNA", at positions 30 to 530 of the family's 1533-position model. The record is from RNAcentral.